Molecule: ribosomal RNA, 253 nt
Filed under: uncultured bacterium
Lineage: Bacteria
Description: partial 16S ribosomal RNA
Rfam family: Bacterial small subunit ribosomal RNA
Source: RNAcentral
UACAGAGGGGGCAAGCGUUGUUCGGAAUUACUGGGCGUAAAGGGCGCGUAGGCGGCCUUCUAAGUCGAACGUGAAAUCCCCGGGCUCAACCCGGGAACUGCGUCCGAUACUGGAAGGCUUGAAUCCGGGAGAGGGAUGCGGAAUUCCAGGUGUAGCGGUGAAAUGCGUAGAUAUCAGGAGGAACACCAAUGGCGAAGGCAGCUCGCUGGGACGUGACUGACGCUGAGACGCGAAAGCGUGGGGAGCAAACAGG